This 497-nucleotide ribosomal RNA is filed under the name uncultured bacterium. RNAcentral's name for it is "partial 16S ribosomal RNA". It matches the Rfam family "Bacterial small subunit ribosomal RNA", at positions 28 to 507 of the family's 1533-position model. The record is from RNAcentral.
GAUGAACGCUGGCGGCGUGCCUAAUACAUGCAAGUCGAGCGAACGGACGAGAAGCUUGCUUCUCUGAUGUUAGCGGCGGACGGGUGAGUAACACGUGGAUAACCUACCUAUAAGACUGGGAUAACUUCGGGAAACCGGAGCUAAUACCGGAUAAUAUUUUGAACCGCCUGGUUCAAAAGUGAAAGACGGUCUUGCUGUCACUUAUAGAUGGAUCCGCGCUGCAUUAGCUAGUUGGUAAGGUAACGGCUUACCAAGGCAACGAUGCAUAGCCGACCUGAGAGGGUGAUCGGCCACACUGGAACUGAGUCACGGUCCAGACUCCUACGGGAGGCAGCAGUAGGGAAUCUUCCGCAAUGGGCGAAAGCCUGACGGAGCAACGCCGCGUGAGUGAUGAAGGUCUUCGGAUCGUAAAACUCUGUUAUUAGGGAAGAACAUAUGUGUAAGUAACUGUGCACAUCUUGACGGUACCUAAUCAGAAAGCCACGGCUAACUACGUG